AUGGAAUUUUCUAUUAAUUUGGAAUAAUACUUUGAAUUCGCCUAUUCAGAUCAUCUAUUUGAAAUGAAUUUUCAAAAUGCAUUUCAAAUAGUUGAUGUGAAAAAGUCAAACACAAUAAAAGAAUGAAUGGAAUACCAAUCCAGCCAUGUGUACGAUGCAUUCAUUCAUACAAGACCUUGCAAGGUCGCGAAUGAAUGAAAUGCAUCACACCAAAUGUGGCAGGCCAACGCCCUCACUUCGCAACAAGGAAGGCAGAGCGUUGAGCCGACCUUGACACAGUGAGCGAUCGCCCGAUGUUGUCAGCUCAUGCGCAUGCUUGCGCGUGCGUACACACUUCAUUCUAUAAAACACAUUUUAAUUUUUCUUAUCACUCAAUGCAACUUGGAGAGUUAGUGAUUGAGUUCUCUACACGUAUACUAGUGUGAUAGGUUAUAAAAUCAUACAAGAGAGAGAUCUUGCGCUCAACAGAUUCACUACUCAAAACUGUGACUAAUAACUCGCAAAUUCUCUGACAUGAGAGAGUGAUCUUGCGCUCAACAGAUUCACUACUCAAAAAAUGCUUGUACGAGUGAGAUAGAAACACAAAGGAGGCGUGUAUCACAAUUGGCGAACACUGCCGAUACUCCCCAGAGCUUUAGCACGAUGAUAACAUUUGAUUCAUUUUCUCACCCCACAACUCGGUCUCAUAAGCAAUUGUGCUCUCGUGAAGGAACCUUACCUGCAUCUAGAAAAUCAUAGCCGAGGAGCUACCUGAACCGAGUCGAGGAGCUGAGAGAAGUCGAUUAUUUCAUUUCGUCAAAUCAACACAUAUAUGAGCUCUCGAACGGAAAUCAUUUGAUGAAUAUAUAAGCUCAGUAUAUUAUAAAUAGGCAUUUUAAUGAAUUACGUAAAUAUGAUUCUGUUUCUUUAGAAAAAAUGGCGAGAAUACAAAGUUAUCGUUGUGAACUAACUGAAC
Nilaparvata lugens (brown planthopper) is the source of this 955-nucleotide long non-coding RNA. RefSeq lists it as uncharacterized. NCBI's taxonomy places the organism in Eukaryota, Metazoa, Arthropoda, Insecta, Hemiptera, Delphacidae. The transcript is spliced from 5 exons. The record is from RefSeq and is a predicted model, not a curated record.